GACGAACGCUGGCGGCGUGCCUAAUACAUGCAAGUUGAGCGAUGAAGAUUGGUGCUUGCACCAAUUUGAAGAGCAGCGAACGGGUGAGUAACGCGUGGGGAAUCUGCCUUUGAGCGGGGGACAACAUUUGGAAACGAAUGCUAAUACCGCAUAACAACUUUAAACAUAAGUUUUAAGUUUGAAAGAUGCAAUUGCAUCACUCAAAGAUGAUCCCGCGUUGUAUUAGCUAGUUGGUGAGGUAAAGGCUCACCAAGGCGAUGAUACAUAGCCGACCUGAGAGGGUGAUCGGCCACAUUGGGACGGAGACACGGCCCAAACCCCUACGGGAGGCAGCAGUAGGGAAUCUUCGGCAAUGGACGAAAGUCUGACCGAGCAACGCCGCGUGAGUGAAGAAGGUUGUCGGAUCGUAAAACUCUGUUGGUAGAGAAGAACGUUGGUGAGAGUGGAAAGCUCAUCAAGUGACGGUAACUACCCAGAAAGGGACGGCUAACUACGUG
RNAcentral lists this ribosomal RNA (497 nucleotides) under uncultured bacterium. RNAcentral describes it as "partial 16S ribosomal RNA". It matches the Rfam family "Bacterial small subunit ribosomal RNA", at positions 28 to 507 of the family's 1533-position model. The record is from RNAcentral.